RNAcentral lists this ribosomal RNA (74 nucleotides) under uncultured bacterium. RNAcentral describes it as "partial 16S ribosomal RNA". The record is from RNAcentral.
UUACAACCCGAAGGCCUUCAUCCUGCACGCGGCAUGGCUGGAUCAGGCUUGCGCCCAUUGUCCAAAAUUCCCCA